RNAcentral lists this unclassified non-coding RNA (254 nucleotides) under uncultured Patescibacteria group bacterium. RNAcentral describes it as "contains 16S-23S intergenic spacer region". It matches the Rfam family "Bacterial small subunit ribosomal RNA", at positions 524 to 776 of the family's 1533-position model. The record is from RNAcentral.
UACGAAGGGUGUAAGCGUUGCCCGGAUUUAUUGGGCGUAAAGUGUUUCGUAGGCGGCAUGGUAAGUUGUUCUUUAAAGACCUCGGCUCAACCGAGGAAAGGGGAGCAAUACUGCCAAGCUUGAAGAAUGUCGGGGUCACUGGAACUGUCGGUGUAGGGGUGAAAUCCGUUGAUAUCGAUAGGAACUCCGAAGGCGUAGGCGGGUGACUAGGCAUUAUUUGACGCUGAUGAACGAAAGCUAGGGGAGCGAAAGGG